This 497-nucleotide ribosomal RNA is filed under the name uncultured bacterium. Its description in RNAcentral is "partial 16S ribosomal RNA". It matches the Rfam family "Bacterial small subunit ribosomal RNA", at positions 28 to 507 of the family's 1533-position model. The record is from RNAcentral.
GAUGAACGCUGGCGGCGUGCCUAAUACAUGCAAGUCGAGCGACCAGACGAGGAGCUUGCUCCCCUGACGUUAGCGGCGGACGGGUGAGUAACACGUGGAUAACCUACAUAUAAGAAUGGGAUAACUUCGGGAAACCGGAGAUAACACCGGACAAUAUAUUGAACCGCAUGGUUCAAUAGUGAAAGACGGUUUUGCUGUCACUUAUAGAUGGAUCCGCGCUGCAUUAGCUAGUUGGUAAGGUAACGGCUUACCAAGGCGACGAUGCGUAGCCGACCUGAGAGGGUGAUCAGCCACACUGGGACUGAGACACGGUCCAGACUCCUACGGGAGGCAGCAGUAGGGAAUCUUCCGCAAUGGGCGAAAGCCUGACGCAGCAACGCCGCGUGAGUGAUGAAGGUCUUCGGAUCGUAAAACUCUGUUAUUAGGGAAGAACAAAUGUGUGAGUAUCUAUGCACGUCUUGACGGUACCUGAACAGAAAGCCACGGCUAACUACGUG